This 301-nucleotide ribosomal RNA is filed under the name uncultured bacterium. RNAcentral's name for it is "partial 16S ribosomal RNA". It matches the Rfam family "Bacterial small subunit ribosomal RNA", at positions 509 to 809 of the family's 1533-position model. The record is from RNAcentral.
CAGUCGCCACGGUAAUACGGAGGGUGCAAGCGUUAAUCGGAAUUACUGGGCGUAAAGCGCACGCAGGCGGUCUGUCAAGUCAGAUGUGAAAUCCCCGGGCUUAACCUGGGAACUGCAUUUGAAACUGGCAGGCUAGAGUCUUGUAGAGGGGGGUAGAAUUCCAGGUGUAGCGGUGAAAUGCGUAGAGAUCUGGAGGAAUACCGGUGGCGAAGGCGGCCCCCUGGACAAAGACUGACGCUCAGGUGCGAAAGCGUGGGGAGCAAACAGGAUUAGAUACCCGCGUAGUCCCUGUCUCUUAUAU